Long non-coding RNA from Daphnia magna, 3240 nucleotides. RefSeq lists it as uncharacterized. The transcript is spliced from 3 exons. NCBI's taxonomy places the organism in Eukaryota, Metazoa, Arthropoda, Branchiopoda, Diplostraca, Daphniidae. The record is from RefSeq and is a predicted model, not a curated record.
CAUCACAGAGAAAAAAGUUACUAAACCUCUUUUCAACACCAUCGAGUAAAGCCGCAGCCAAAGGUUCACAGACUAUUAGGUUCCCAGAAUUUGUAAGGUCAUCAAUUUUUCUCUUGAUCAUGAUAAUUGAAAGUAACAUAUGCGAUAUGCCCAGCUCUAACUUGAUUACCUGUUUCCCCUUGGAAACUUUUUAAAGCAGUUGCAAUUGGCUUCAUAAGCAUAACAUAUUGUUUCAUAAACAAUAUUUCCAGUGAAUUAAAAUCUGCAAUGCCAUUAUAGUCACACAGAAAAACAAUACAGACUUCGUUAACAGACGAAGUAUCGCUAUCGAGUAUCGAUCGAUACCGAAACGAUACCGUACCGAUACCUAUUUUUUAAAAGUAGCGCCGAUACGGUCCCGAUACCAGGUAUCGCUAUCGCCGAUAAUAUCGGUAUCGAAGCCGAUAUUACGUCAUGAGUUGUCCAGUAUGUUCAAAAGUGCCCCAAAUCGAGUUGGUGUUAGUGCACUCCUGUAAAACAAGCAUCGCUGUGUUUGCUUUGAUGCAAACAUUACUGUUGAAUGGGCUGAUGGUGAAAUCAGACGUGUACUUGAAAGCUUGACCUUUGUUAGUUACUUUGCUGCAGUUUCCUACGGAUACUUGUGAUUGCACUAGGGGAUCGUUGCUUGUGGUUAAUGUUUUCAGUUUAUCUUGACAUUUUAUCCAAUCUGCGUCACAAUCUUCCAUGGUUAGUUGUUUGUUAAGCCCAUGAUGUGUGACACAUUUUCCGUUUGGAUAUUGUCCAUUUUUCAACAACCCCCAGGCGAUCAUGUCCCAGAUGAUAUUUCCACUGCCAUGAUUUGCUUUCAGGAAACAUCCAAAUAUGGGUGAGUUGAUUGUGGUUGUAACUGCUCUUCGUUGCUCUAAUCGGACUUCUUGAAUAUCCUGCAAUGGUACGUCGGGGAAAUUUUCUAUAACAUCCGGGUUAGUAUUUAUUGUUUGAAAAAACCACUGCUGGUUUUUUCUCGUAUCUCCCUCCAUAGCAGACUGUUCCAAUUUUAAGGAUUCGUCGAUUCCUACGGUUGCAGCAAAUACGUGGUCGUUUUUGUUUCCGUGAUGCAAAUAUUAGUGUUUUGUACACGUAUUGUUGGAUCGACAAUGUACUCAAAUUUCGCUCCUGGUGGGAGAUUGUCGUCCUUUGAAAGUUGACUGUACGUUAUUAAACGAUUUUUGCUUCCAGACUCUUCCCCAGCCGUAUAAAAUGCUGUAGAGGCAAAUCCCCAGUUUUUCUUCUUCGAUUUGGGUGUUGAAAAGAAAGUGGACCUCUUGAAGAACAGAAUGUUGUGACCGGGACUUAUACAGUUCUCUGUAGUCUUCGCAUACUGGUGUAGCAGGGUUGGUAUUUUGAAGGCAUGUUGCGAUUAUGUUUUUGAACAUUUCGUAUAAUAUUUUUGUUGUUUCUGCAGAAAACGCAAGGUAUGUCAGUGGUAUUCCAAUUACUUUAUAUCCGACUGCUGUAACAUCUUUAUCAGGCUUAUUGAAGAAGGAUAUCUCUAGCUUUCGAUUGUUGUCAUAGAGGCGACUGGAGUUGUUGUUUUCUGGUGAACGAGGAAUCUCGAGGUAAUCAUUUCUUUUUAGUAAAGUUUGGGAAUACGAAUGUCUCGUUGGGACCUCCAAAUGUAAAGAUUUCUAGUGUAACGAAGGCCUACAAAUUUAUUUAAUCAACAUGCCCACAUUUUACUGUCUUAUAUUUACUCCCCUUUUCAUUUAUGAUAUCCGCCUUUUUCCUUAUGUAAACGUUUACAAUUCGUACUGUAUUUCAUGCUCAUUUCCUUGAAAUGUUGUUUGUCAAUUCGGAGAUGAAGUCAUCGACGCUUUGGUCUGACCUCAAUGAACACCUGAAACUGACGUAUGUGCGAUGCGCAUAUUGCAAAAUAAAUAAGCAACCGGUUGAUUGGUUGCAUACACGUCACAAUCAAUAUCUUAACAAAACCUUUUUUGAUUGGUUACCCGUGCGCGACAACAACAGUUGCAACAUGCCAUGAGCGUCUGUGACCACUCCUGAAAUGCGAUGUUUCGUGGUGAACCCACAUUUCUGACAAACAGAGUCGAUUCGCAACAUCCAAGCAGUUCAUACGUCAAUUGCUGAGUGUUUAAACCGUGAGUUUGUCCGUACAAUUUUUCUUUUCUCUUGUUCUCAAACUUUGUUAUUUUGUAAGCACUUUUCGUGUUUUCGCCUUCUUGAACUGUCUGUGCACUCGUGCCUUGCUCUCGCUUACACGAGCCGCAUCUUAUCGUUUUUACCACCGUGCGCUCCCGUAACGCUCGCGCUACAUCGGUAAGCUUCUAACUUCCCUUAUGUUUCUGUCAUUAUGAUUUAGCUCGUUAUCCCAUUUCUUGUCCUAUUGUAUGUCCCUUCCCAUGUAAUCCUUAUGGCCUUAGUCAAGUAAAUACACACCAAUCAUUGUGGGUAAUUCGCCACCGAGUUCAGUCUAUUUCCAAAUCUCAGAUACACAUUUCAAUCUUUGUAAUACUCUUCCCCACACAAGGAUGUAUUACAUAAUGGUGGCAGCGCUUUUUGAACUCAACCACAAUGAAUAAUGAUGUUAUUACUGACGGGUCUAGAAUUCCACGAACUCCUAUACACCCCAGUGUGCCCCGAAUUAAUGUUCCCCUGUCCAGUGAGCUAACUAUAGCUAGAUUGCUUAAUUUCGAUAAGUUGCCUGUUUAACCCCAAAUUGCACCUCAUACAUGUCCAGCUUGUACCACUCCCAAACCAAUUUCUGAACCGGGAAAUAAACGAGUCGUUGCGAGGGAGUCAUCAGGCAGUUCAGUGGUUUCUCGGGCCGCGUUACCAGUAAUCAUGGCCCAACGACCACCUGCCCCCCGACUGAAGUACCGGGCUCCUCCGAUCUUCUACGGGAGGAAGGAUGAGGAUGCAGCGGAUUGGCUAGAGCGUUAUGAGAGUACGGCUCUCUAUAACCGCUGGAGACCAGAUGAGAUGGCCGAGAAUUUUGGGAUCCAUCUGAAUGGGGCGGCUAGGAAAUGUUUUCUCUGCUCUGGAGCCCCGGCUGUGUGACGGGAUACACCGGCAGUGGCCGCAGCGCCGGGGGGUGGUGGCUGUGCAUGGGACGGAAGGACUACGAACGAGAUUUCUUAGAGCCUUCCAGCCGCAACAUUAUGGUCGCUAUCAAGAGACAAAGUUACGACAGUGGAAGAAAGGGAUAGACGAAUCAGGAGUGGAAUACUUCUACGACGUCGU